Molecule: ribosomal RNA, 405 nt
Filed under: Skeletonema sp.
Lineage: Eukaryota; Bacillariophyta; Thalassiosirophyceae; Thalassiosirales; Thalassiosiraceae
Description: partial large subunit ribosomal RNA
Rfam family: Bacterial large subunit ribosomal RNA
Source: RNAcentral
CAGAAAGACCCUAUGAAGCUUUACUGUAACCUGGAAUUGCUCUCAAGCUUAUCUUGCGCAGCUUAGGUGGGAGGCUAUGAACCUUUUCUUCCGGGAAGAGGGGAGCCAUCAGUGAGAUACCACUCUUGGUAAGCUAGAGCGCUCAGUCUUCACCGUUAUCCGGUAAGACGACAGUUUCAGGCGGGCAGUUUGACUGGGGCAGUCACCUCCCAAAAGGUAAUGGAGGUGUGCAAAGGUUCCCUCAGGCUGGACGGAAAUCAGCCAUAGAGUGUAAAAGCAAAAGGGAGCUUGACUGCGAGACUGACAUGUCAAGCAGAGACGAAAGUCGGCUUUAGUGAUCCGACGGUGCUGUGUGGAAAGGCCGUCGCUCAACGGAUAAAAGUUACUCUAGGGAUAACAGGCUGA